AACGCGAAGAACCUUACCUGGGCUCGAAAUGUUGUGGACCGGGGUAGAAAUAUCCCUUCCCCGCAAGGGGCCGCAAUAUAGGUGCUGCAUGGCUGUCGUCAGCUCGUGUCGUGAGAUGUUGGGUUAAGUCCCGCAACGAGCGCAACCCUUAUCUCCAGUUGCUACCAUUUAGUUGAGCACUCUGGCGAAACCGCCUCGGAUAACGGGGAGGAAGGUGGGGAUGACGUCAAGUCCUCAUGGCCUUUAUGUCCAGGGCUACACACGUGCUACAAUGGCCGGUACAAACCGUCGCAAACCCGCGAGGGGGAGCUAAUCGGAAAAAGCCGGCCUCAGUUCGGAUCGCAGUCUGCAACUCGACUGCGUGAAGCUGGAAUCGCUAGUAAUCGCGGAUCAGAACGCCGCGGUGAAUACGUUCCCGGGCCUUGUACACACCGAUAGC
Molecule: ribosomal RNA, 439 nt
Filed under: uncultured bacterium
Lineage: Bacteria
Description: bacterial SSU rRNA
Rfam family: Bacterial small subunit ribosomal RNA
Source: RNAcentral